Molecule: long non-coding RNA, 1980 nt
Filed under: Anas platyrhynchos (mallard)
Lineage: Eukaryota; Metazoa; Chordata; Aves; Anseriformes; Anatidae
Description: lncRNA (ENSAPLG00020014505.1)
Source: RNAcentral
AUGACUGGGAUAAAUACCUCCUCUCCUCAGAAGCCCUCUUCUAUCAGAGAAGUAGAUGCUAAUAAGCCCUUACUGUAUCAGCCUACUGUAUACUUACUGUAUAAGCCCUACUGUAUCACCCUUGGGGACAGCAUGGAGUUGAUUAAGGAGGUAUUGGGGAGGCAUUGGGGAGGCAAGGACAAUCCCCAGACAUGGACUGUAUAUCUCGAAACAAGACACUGGAAAUCUGAUGCAAAAGAAUUUGCAUGGGAAAAGAAAAGGGGGGAUUGAUUAAGGAGGUAUUGGGGAGGCAUUGGGGAGGCAAGGACAAUCCCCAGACAUGGACUGUAUAUCUCGAAACAAGACACUGGAACUCAUGAUAAGGAAGCGGCAGACGGACAGAGAAACAAAUGUAAGGACUAUAAAUCUCAAAAUUGGACAUUGGAAUUCAUUAUAAAGAUACAACAAACAGAAGAAUUAGCAACAACCAGCUCUCGCAAUUAAGAAACGUGCCAAUUCAGCAGAUUCCUGACCAAAGGUGAAAAGUACACUGUGAGGAAGACUCGGGGUCUUCCUCCCAAAGACCCCUGCCCACGUCCCAAAGACCCCUGCCCACAAUUCUUGGGAGGCUCUACGCAGGCGCAAGGUGCCAAAAGGCUAAUUAGCAUGAGAAGCGAGGGAAGGCGGGGAUAGGUAAUGCAUAUGUAUAGGUGCUUGUAGAAUAUUGAUAGAUUGAUUGUAUAAAUUCAAGACUGCUUUCCGCUUUGGGUAUGCACGAUAGGUGGAGAGAUCCCCCGUGCAUCCAGCGCUGCAAUAAAGAAUAUACCACUUAAAGGAAUUUCGGCUUCGAUCUUUGAAUCAGAGUGUCAUUUAGAAGAUGAAUAGCAAAGGCCUGCUAUGCAAGUUCUUCUACUUAGAAAAGCUAAGGCCUAAGCAGUCACCUGGCCAUUUGAAGGGCCAAUUCCUUUUAAACCAAUAACUUCUCAUUUCCUCAAAACCAGAAAUUUACCUACAGGGACCGGAGAGCAAAAGGUAUCACACCUGUCACCACCUGCUUCAUCUCCUGCCACUGAAACCCAGCACACUUUCCCCCCCCUCAGCGCAGCUCUCCAUGAAGAACUGCAUUAUGAAGAUGCUUUUCUCUCUCUCCCCCCCCAGGUCUCCAAUACUCCCUAUAUCUGCACUCAAGAAGUCAGCUCCCCCUCAAGUUACCCCAACUUCCAGGAAUACUCUUCCUUUUUAACAAUGGGCACGUGGCUUAGAUACCCUGCCUUACAGACGCACACCACUAUGGCCCAAGCACAGCAUCACCAAGAUGUAUCACUCUGGAGCAGUUGGCACUAGCAGCCUGACACCUUCCCUGUACACUUUCCAGGAACUUGCCACCAAGGAGCUUUCCAAGCUGGAAAUUCCACCUGUUUUACUUUAUUUACAAGUGCAGUUUUGUCCUGGUUUCAGUUAGCACAGAAUUAAUUUUCUUCCUAGUAGCUGGUGGAAUGCUGUGUUUUGGCUUAGGAUGAGAAGAGUGCUGAUAACACCCCGAUGCUUUAAUUGUUGCAGAGCAGUGCUUAUACUAAGCCAAGGACAUCUCAGCCUUUUGCUCUGUCCUGCCAACGGGCAGGCUGGGGGUGCAGUAAGAGCUGGGAGGGGACAGACCCAGGACAGGUGACCCAAACUAGCCAAAGGGAUAUUCCAUACCAUCUGACGUCAUGCUAAACAAUAUAUAGGGGUGGCUAGCCGGGGGGAGGGGGCCGGACUGCUCGGGGUUAGGCUGGGCAUCGGUCAGCGAGUGGUGAGCAAUUGCAUUGUGCAUCACUUGUUUGUACAUAUUAUUAUUACUUUCCUAUUAUCACCAUUGUAUCAUUAUUAUUAUUAUUGUUAUUAUUAUUUUUGUUAUUAUUAUUUUCCUGUCUUAUUAAACUGUCUUUAUCUCAACUCACGGGCUUCACUCUCCAUUUCUCUCCCCCGUCCCAGAGAGGGAGGGGGGAGGGUGAGCGAACG